UAGAGUUUGAUCAUGGCUCAGAUUGAACGCUGGCGGAAUGCUUUACACAUGCAAGUCGAGCGGCAGCGCGGGGCAACNNNGGGGCGAGCGGCGAACGGGUGAGUAAUACAUCGGAACGUACCCAGUUGUGGGGGAUAGCCCGGCGAAAGCCGGAUUAAUACCGCAUACGACCUGAGGGUGAAAGCGGGGGAUCGCAAGACCUCGCGCAGUUGGAGCGGCCGAUGGCGGAUUAGCUAGUUGGUGAGGUAAUGGCUCACCAAGGCGACGAUCCGUAGCUGGUCUGAGAGGACGACCAGCCACACUGGAACUGAGACACGGUCCAGACUCCUACGGGAGGCAGCAGUGGGGAAUUUUGGACAAUGGGGGAAACCCUGAUCCAGCCAUUCCGCGUGAGUGAAGAAGGCCUUCGGGUUGUAAAGCUCUUUCGGCAGGAACGAAACGGUCUUUUCUAAUACAAGAGGCUAAUGACGGUACCUGAAGAAGAAGCACCGGCUAACUACGUGCCAGCAGCCGCGGUAAUACGUAGGGUGCGAGCGUUAAUCGGAAUUACUGGGCGUAAAGCGUGCGCAGGCGGUUAUGUAAGACAGAUGUGAAAUCCCCGGGCUUAACCUGGGAACUGCGUUUGUGACUGCAUAACUUGAGUGUGGCAGAGGGGGGUGGAAUUCCACGUGUAGCAGUGAAAUGCGUAGAGAUGUGGAGGAACACCGAUGACGAAGGCAGCCCCCUGGGUCAACACUGACGCUCAUGCACGAAAGCGUGGGGAGCAAACAGGAUUAGAUACCCUGGUAGUCCACGCCCUAAACGAUGCGAACU
Molecule: ribosomal RNA, 813 nt
Filed under: uncultured Rhodocyclaceae bacterium
Lineage: Bacteria; Pseudomonadati; Pseudomonadota; Betaproteobacteria; Rhodocyclales; Rhodocyclaceae
Description: bacterial SSU rRNA
Rfam family: Bacterial small subunit ribosomal RNA
Source: RNAcentral